This 331-nucleotide ribosomal RNA is filed under the name uncultured bacterium. RNAcentral's name for it is "bacterial SSU rRNA". It matches the Rfam family "Bacterial small subunit ribosomal RNA", at positions 568 to 898 of the family's 1533-position model. The record is from RNAcentral.
CGCGCAGGCGGCCUAUCAAGUCAGGCGUGAAAGCCCCGGGCUUAACCUGGGAAUUGCGCUUGGGACUGGCAGGCUGGAGUUCGGGAGAGGAGAGUGGAAUCCCCAGUGUAGAGGUGAAAUUCGUAGAUAUUGGGAAGAACACCGGUGGCGAAGGCGGCUCUCUGGACCGAUACUGACGCUGAGGCGCGAAAGCGUGGGGAGCAAACAGGAUUAGAUACCCUGGUAGUCCACGCUGUAAACGAUGUGCGCUAGACGUUGGGAGGCGUAGCCUUCCGGUGUCGCAGCUAACGCUUUAAGCGCACCGCCUGGGGAGUACGGCCGCAAGGUUAAA